RNAcentral lists this ribosomal RNA (433 nucleotides) under uncultured bacterium. RNAcentral describes it as "partial 16S ribosomal RNA". It matches the Rfam family "Bacterial small subunit ribosomal RNA", at positions 29 to 507 of the family's 1533-position model. The record is from RNAcentral.
AACGAACGCUGGCGGCAUGCCUAACACAUGCAAGUCGAACGAGACCUUCGGGUCUAGUGGCGCACGGGUGCGUAACGCGGGGGAACCUGCCCUUAGGUUCGGAAUAACUCCCCGAAAGGGGUGCUAAUACCGGUUAAUGUCUUCGGACCAAAGAUUUAUCGCCUUUGGAUGGGCCCGCGUUGGAUUAGCUAGUUGGUAGGGUAAAAGCCUACCAAGGCGACGAUGCAUAGCUGGUCUGAGAGGAUGAUCAGUCAGACUGGGACUGAGACACGGCCCAGACUGCUACGGGAGGCAGCAGUGUAGAAUAUUGGACGAUGGGCGAAAGCCUGAUACAGCAAUGCCGCGUGAGUGAUGAAGGCCUUAGGGUUGUAAAGCUCUUUUACCCGGGAUGAUAAUGACAGUACCGGGAGAAUAAGCUCCGGCUAACUACGUG